Molecule: unclassified non-coding RNA, 222 nt
Filed under: Hevea brasiliensis (rubber tree)
Lineage: Eukaryota; Viridiplantae; Streptophyta; Magnoliopsida; Malpighiales; Euphorbiaceae
Source: RNAcentral
GUCCGCACUGCUCCUUCUCUCAUUCUUCAACAGCGAAGAGGCCGGAGUGCAGGUUUUUCUUCUCUUUACAGGGAUGUCGGAAUGGAGAUUCAUGUAUGUUUUCUCACGAUUCAGUUCCAUCUGCUUAUUCUGGUGUUCUGUCAAGUCUAUGCCUGCCGGAAAAUGCUGCAGCUAAUAUGUGGUCACUUCUGCAGUGGUUUCCUGUACCCUAUCAUGGGUGCA